Cuculus canorus (common cuckoo) is the source of this 2136-nucleotide long non-coding RNA. RefSeq lists it as uncharacterized. NCBI's taxonomy places the organism in Eukaryota, Metazoa, Chordata, Aves, Cuculiformes, Cuculidae. The transcript has 3 exons. The record is from RefSeq and is a predicted model, not a curated record.
GAAAAAAAAGACAAAAAUAAAAUCUGACAAGAUAAGAAUAGACAUGGUGGCGGGCUGGUCCUGCUCUGUAACUGCCUUUAGUUCUGCUGAAGAUCUUUGACUCUGAUAGAAUUAAAUUUCAUUGCCAGAAAAAUGGUUUGUUUCUUUGCCUUGUGUACGGAGUCUUGGAGUAAUCUCGAGUGAAAGAAUGCUUGCUAUAUUACUGGUAUGGUCAUUGGCUAGAAAAUGUCACAAAAUUAUUUUCCUUGUAAACACCUCUAUAUUAGUUAAAGAACGGAAUAAAAUAAGAGAUAAAGGAAUUGAAAGGUAUUGGUAUGAAAUAAAUAUGUUCCCCUUGUCAUAUCUUUUCAAAUGAAAGGAGUUUCUUUAGAAAUGAGCACAAGGUUCAUUCUAAACACUUUGUUGAGACAGUUUAGUUCUCAAGGAUGACUGUCUUUCAGAAAAACAAAAUUUAACAGCCUGACAUACUGCCAAAGAGGACUUUCAAAUCUAUGGCACAAAAGUGAGGUAUUUCUACUGCUGGGACAUGCUCUUAUUUGCAGUUUAAGUCUUCUAAAAGACAGUGAAAGUUAUGCUGUUUGAUAGCCACUCAAGUAAUCUGUUCCUGAUGCAUUGUGGAUCCAGAGUCUGCAGUCACAAUUUAGUAUGUGCGCAGAGGAAGUGCCUCAUAGCCUCAGCUACAACCCAGAGUUAAAUCAUUCUCAUUGCUGUGUGUGUAUAGGGCAAAAGAAAGUUUCCUACAUAACCCUGCUUAUAUAUGCAUAUAUAUGUAGUAUGUGAUUUUAUACAUACAUAUAUAUAUAUAUAAAUGCACAUUUACAUGUAUAUAUAAAUGGCAACUCUCUGCUAGCUGAAGCAGGGAACAUGCUGAACCAUCAUUUUGUGUGCCUGAGAGACACGUGUGUAUCAGCACAUGGACAAGACCAAUGCUGCCAGAACUUCUGGGUGCGUUGCACUGAUGCUAUGUUUUAAUCAGACCUUAAGUUGCACAAGAGGUGACUUGUUAAUCUACAACCUUAUUGAAAAUGAUGGAGGUGUAUCUGUGUGCAGUAGACUGAAAGAGAAAAUAUAUUUGUAAGGUUUGAGAUACUCUAACUAAUCAAAUACCCAGCAGAAAAGCAUAUUAUCCAGCAAAUUGAUGAAUUUCACAAUUGGAGAGACACAAAAUGGCUUGCCAAAAGGUGCUGUGAUUAAGAAAGUUGUUGGGUUAUAAUUCAUGUACCAAGCUGAACAGCAAACCUGCUCUGUGUGGGAGUAAAUAAGAAAGGGUUUGAGCAUUGUUUAGUGACUCAGCUUGUCCACAUUUUUCAUCAUCAGCAGUGACCAAUAGCAAAAUGUUCAGAAGAAAAUGCAAAGUACCUUACAAGGGACCUUGAUAGGUUGACUGUACUCAAGGGAGUUUCCCUUCCUAAAAGCUAAAAGUGACCCUGGCUUGAUAUAAACCUCCAAAGCUUGUAUGUAAGUUAGCAGUGAUUGGCUUCCCCUAUGGGUGCUACUGACACAUUUAUAAAUGAAUAAUCUCUUCGCUGUUUGUGAUAUACUGAUAUUCCAUCUUGUGACUAUUCCCUAAAUUAACUGCACCAAAAAAAUCUGUCAGGUGAAAGUAUUUUUAAAUCAUGUUUUUCAACUUUUUUUUCAGUUCCGUUUCCUCUUUCUUUUGUGCUAAAAGACAGAGCCCAUACCAGAUCUGACUUUUAUCUCUACCAGCUGACUGAGAAGGUGAACAGAAGCUGUGUAAAGUCAGCGUGUUUGACAUAUAGCAGCCUAGAGAUUGCCAGUCAGAAGCAAUGGAGAAAACACCCUGCUUUAGUUUUAUGCCUACUCAAGAGCACUGAAGCAUUCAGACGCCACUGAAAUUGUGCAUAUAUCUAAGAUAAAUUAAGUCCUACUUGUUCCUUCAAUUUCUAUUAGAAGAUGCAAUGUAACUUGCAUAUAGCUGAAUAUAAUAUUGCAUGUGUUCUUAGAGAAUGUUUGGCAAUGUCAGAUGUGGCCUUUCUUUAAUCAGGUUCUACAUGUGGUUUAUUAAAUUGUUAAAGGUCAUAUGCUCAAGUGGAUAAAAAGGCAGUUGAUAUUUUGAAAGUAAUUGUCACAUCCUGCAAUUGCGAAUGAUAUAGGGAAUGGGUAAAGCAAAUGUUU